UUUUUUUUUUUUUUGAAGUAAAAAACUCUCUUCCUCUUCCCCCAUCUCUCUCUCUCUCUCAACCCUAACUCUAAUUCCCUUCCGAGAUCUCCUCGCAUGUCUCAUCUUACGCAUGAUCGAUGGACGAAGAGUCGACUCUUCUCCCCUUUUGCAGCUAAUCGGAACCAUAGCCUCUCUCAGAGACUUGGUCUUCAUGAUUGGAGAUGAUAAGAACAUCCUCUAAUUCAAAUAUUAGUGUUUUGACAGGAGUCGCAGGUUUUCUUGGCCAUCUAAAAGUUUCGGUGUGUGAUGCAAGGAAAAGCAGAAGAAUAAGGUGAAAGAUUAAUAUAAUAUAUGAAUGAGAAGCCAGUAUGGCUUAAUGAAUGAUUACGACAUCAAGAAUGGGAAAAGGAACUUUGAACAAAAGUGGGA
This is a long non-coding RNA of Ananas comosus (pineapple), 411 nucleotides long. RefSeq lists it as uncharacterized. NCBI's taxonomy places the organism in Eukaryota, Viridiplantae, Streptophyta, Magnoliopsida, Poales, Bromeliaceae. The record is from RefSeq and is a predicted model, not a curated record. The transcript has 4 exons.